RNAcentral lists this non-coding RNA (24 nucleotides) under Arabidopsis thaliana (thale cress). Lineage: Eukaryota; Viridiplantae; Streptophyta; Magnoliopsida; Brassicales; Brassicaceae. The record is from RNAcentral.
UGAAUAUGGUGUCACACUGUUCAC